UAGGGAAUUUUCCGCAAUGGGCGAAAGCCUGACGGAGCAACGCCGCGUGAGGGACGAAGGCCUUUGGGCUGUAAACCUCUUUUCUCAAGGAAGAAGAUCUGACGGUACUUGAGGAAUAAGCCACGGCUAAUUCCGUGCCAGCAGCCGCGGUAAUACGGGAGUGGCAAGCGUUAUCCGGAAUUAUUGGGCGUAAAGCGUCCGCAGGCGGCCAUUCAAGUCUGUUGUUAAAGCAUGGAGCUUAACUCCAUCACUGCAAUGGAAACUGUCUGGCUUGAGUGUGGCAGGGGCAGAGGGAAUUUCCGGUGUAGCGGUGAAAUGCGUAGAUAUCGGGAGGAACACCAGUGGCGAAAGCGCUCUGCUGGGCCAUCACUGACGCUCAUGGACGAAAGCCAGGGGAGCAAAAGGG
RNAcentral lists this ribosomal RNA (406 nucleotides) under uncultured cyanobacterium. Its description in RNAcentral is "bacterial SSU rRNA". It matches the Rfam family "Bacterial small subunit ribosomal RNA", at positions 355 to 776 of the family's 1533-position model. The record is from RNAcentral. Lineage: Bacteria; Bacillati; Cyanobacteriota.